GGGGUUGCGGACAUAUCAUAACGAAGAGGUAUCGUAAUUGAAGAGGUUUGGAAAGACCCACCACAGAAGGUAAUAGUCCUGUAUGUUAAACGAGAAGACUUUAGAUAUGAUCCAGAGUACCACGGGACACGUGAAACCCUGUGGGAAGCAGGAGGGACCACCCUCCAAGGCUAAAUACUACCUAGUGACCGAUAGCGUAUAGUACCGUGAGGGAAAGGUGAAAAGAACCCCGGGAGGGGAGUGAAAUAGAACCUGAAACCCUGCACUUACAAGCUGUGGAAGCACAUUUCUUGUGUGACCGCGUACUUUUUGUAGAACGGGCCAACGAGUUACGUUAAGUAGCAAGGUUAAGCACUUAAGGUGCGGAGCCGUAGCGAAAGCGAGUUUUAACUGAGCGUUCAGUUACUUGACGUAGACCCGAAACCGGGCGACCUACCCAUGAGCAGGAUGAAGCGAAAGUAAAAUUUCGUGGAGGUCCGAACCCACGAGCGUUGAAAAGCUCGGGGAUGACUUGUGGGUAGCGGUGAAAUUCCAAUCGAGCCCGGAGAUAGCUGGUUCUCCCCGAAAUAGCUUUAGGGCUAGCCUCAAGGUGAGAGAUACGGAGGUAGAGCACUGAAUGUCCUAGGGGGUAUUGCACCUACCGAAGACUAUCAAACUCCGAAUGCCGUCAUCUUAUACUUGGGAGUCAGACUGUGGGUGAUAAGAUUCAUAGUCGAAAGGGCAACAGCCCAGAUCGUCAGCUAAGGUCCCUAAAUGUAAGUUAAGUGGUAAAGGAUGUGGGAUUGCACAGACAACCAGGAUGUUGGCUUAGAAGCAGCCACUCAUUCAAAGAGUGCGUAAUAGCUCACUGGUCGAGUGAUCCUGCGCCGAAGAUUUCCGGGGCUAAAACUUACUACCGAAGCUACGGCAUCAGUAAUGAUGGGUAGGGGAGCUUCCCAUACGGGUUGAAGCAUGACCGUAAGGACAUGUGGACAGUAUGGGAGUGAGAAUGUUGGCAUGAGUAGCGAGAUGUGGGUGAGAAUCCCACAGGCCGUAAACCCAAGG
RNAcentral lists this ribosomal RNA (1044 nucleotides) under Clostridioides difficile. Its description in RNAcentral is "partial 23S ribosomal RNA". It matches the Rfam family "Bacterial large subunit ribosomal RNA", at positions 294 to 1350 of the family's 2925-position model. The record is from RNAcentral. Lineage: Bacteria; Bacillati; Bacillota; Clostridia; Peptostreptococcales; Peptostreptococcaceae.